This is a long non-coding RNA of Cavia porcellus (domestic guinea pig), 5741 nucleotides long. RefSeq lists it as uncharacterized. The transcript has 3 exons. Lineage: Eukaryota; Metazoa; Chordata; Mammalia; Rodentia; Caviidae. The record is from RefSeq and is a predicted model, not a curated record.
AGAGCAGCUGGGGUAACAGCGACGUAAAGCAGUGCGUUGUGCUCGCUGCCUUCCAGGCACCUGCUCCGGGUGUUUUACAGAUAUUAAUCAUUUACUCACGACCGCCUGGGCGUCCGGGCCGUUGCUAGCCCCACCACACAACGAAGAGCGCCAGGUCUCGGAGGUGAGGGGACUUGCCCGAGGUCACAGAAGCCACAGAAGGAGAGGGAGAAGAGAAGACUGGAUGUGACACCGCUCACACCUCGGGGCUACGCGCUUCUUGGGGCAGGCAGCUCAUGGUGCAGAACCCGACCCGUUACCUGAGGACUGAACUUAAAAGAGGAGCGUGUGUUUUCCAGGGCUGUGCUGAGCUCUGGCACAAACAGCACAAACAACCAAGAGCCCAGGUCACUGGACUCCAGGAACCCCCCCCCCCCCAUGCCCAAAGAGAGCCGGGGCGCUGUGUUCUGUCUUCACACUGAGCGCGGGCUCGUGUUUUUAAUUCCUGGUGUUCUUCUCCGGACUCGUUUACUGCAGCCGCCCACCCAUCAGUGCUGCUUUUAACCACUGCCCCCGACCUCCUGGCCAUCUGCGUCUCUGGUACUUUCUGCCAUCUGGCCGCGGUAGCACGCGCUGCGUAUCUUGUUUCCUGCCGCCCUGAAUUUGGCAGUCGGGCUGCACAGCUCGGAGUCCAGUCGGAUUCAUGUGGGGACGCUGCCCCCCGCAGGCCGCAGUCGUGCACGGCUCUCCGGGAGAAACUGCUGGAGCCCAGGCCAUUCCCCGCGGGCAUGCCGCUAACAGCCCCACAGACCCCUCCAGGCAUCUCUCCUCUCACCCGCACAACCUCCUGAGGCUGAGAACUACCACUGUCUAAAUUUUCAGACACGCCUGUGUCUCAGAGUUGUGGAGUCACAGGCUCAGGAGCAGCAGGCUCGGGCCUUGAGCCCAGGCUGUCCCCAUCUCACUGCCUCCCCAGGGAUGGAACUAGCCGUGUCUGAGCAGCUGUACCCUGCCGGAUGCCCGCCGUCCACGCUGUCAUUUAAUCUGUCUGCCAACUGAGAGCAAGGAAAGAGAAGCACACGGACCUGGCUGUGGCCACGCAGCCCUCGCUGGUACCCAGCACUGGCUUCUUACGGUGCUCACACGGGUGUGCGGCUUGGGCUCCCUGCAGGGACUCGGCUGCAGGGUGCAGGUGACUGACCUCAAAUCACAGCAGUGUUUGCACCUAGGCUGCCCGCUCCCGGGGGCCGACACAGUCAGGCUGAGCCCAGGAGGAGGUGACAGAGGGCCAGGAGAGGCUGUCUCAGGGCGGGAUCACAGCCUCCUUCUGCCUGGACCACAGCCCUGCACCGGCCACCUUGGCCAAGUCGCAUCACCCAGCCGGACUCUGGCGCCCUGGCGGGACGCCCCUCCCACACCCACCUCGAAAAGGAAUUGCCACUGUAGGGGGAUCCGGCCCCCAUGCAUGGACCAGUGCUGCUGCUUAGAAGUGGACAGGGGUCCUGUGUCUGCUCAAAGCCUGAGUCCGGCGGGGUGCACCGCUUGGUAGAGCGUGUGUGAGCUGUACCAAGCCGAGUAAGACACACGGUCCCCACUCUGGGAGCGGAGACAGUGGAGCCCCACCCCCCACCACGUGGACCUCACUCGAACAGAGGAAGCUCUGCAGCGAGGCAGACCCAGGUGCAGCUCCUGACAAAGGCUUCCACUUCUCAGCCCUGGCGUCGUCGGCACGGCAGGCACUCUGGUAUCUGGUGGCAUGGCCCUGACAGUGAAGGCCGACACAAAUUAGAGUCUGCUCAUAGCUGGCAGGAAGUGCACGGCAGCUGGGCACAAACUCUCCUGGAAUAAAAGAGACUGAGUUCAGGGAAGGAGGCCUUAAGGCACACGCACCAGGUGGAGGUCGGUACUGCUGGGGCUGCGCGGCCACACCGGGGCAUGGGAUGCAAGGGCCCUGUCGCUGCAGACAGGAGUCAGGAGAGAGGCACAGAGGAGGCCGAGGAGCCCCGUGCUCUAGGCACAGGCAGCUGUGGAGGGCCUUACGGACACCCUGGGGACAGACACCCACGGAGGACAUGGCUGAGCAGUGCGGCGGGGCAUGGGGAGGGAGGGACAGGGCGGCACUGUGACUGCCCAGGCCUGGGAGCACUUGCCCGGAGACAGGGCUACUGUGAGAAGGGGGCAGGGGGACCAUGACCCAGGCGGGGGACAGAGAGAGGUCGGCGACAGCUUUACAAUCAAGCAGUUCAUUCCAUUUGCACCCUGCUUGUCAGCCAAAUUUCAUGUUCUCCCACCCGGCCACCUCCCUGCCAUGAGGCGACAGCACCCCCGUGUCCCGGGUUCCUAAGGGGGACAGAGUAGGAAGCGUGGCCCAGGUCAAAUGCCCAGUAAGGCGCACGUCAGGGUCCUCGCACAGGGCAGGUGUGAGGCCCAAGUUAACCUAGCUACGCCUAGCACCGCCAGGCCAGCAGGAAACGCUAAGUGGAACCAGGGGAUUCUCUGAAAGCCGGCCAGUGUGGGGCUACAUUUAGUUCUAGAAAAGUGACAAGAGGUCAAACAGAGACAGCCUGUUUGGGUACAAACCACAGGAGCUCGUGUCCUCAACACUGCAGAACCUCUGCUUAGCGGCUGCCCAUGUUCCCAGGUGGGCAGUGUCCAGGGCAGGGGUCAGGGUGGGACAGGGUGAAGUCCACUACCCUCUGAGGGCAGGGAGGAUGAGAUGUUAUCCCUUCCGCAAGCUCAGCUGCAGGUCCAGGGGGAUCUACUCCCUGGGGAAAGGCGGGCACAGCCCAGGGCUUUCCCUCUAGAGGGGCAGAGACCGGCAGUGACCAUCAGAGAAACGCAGUGAGCUGGGAGCAAGGAAGGUCGCCUCUCUGCAGUCUGUCUGCACAGGACAGGGAUGUACAGAGCUGCUAGAACCUGUGAGAGACAAGACCAACAGAAAGUGGUCAGGGCACUGAGGACACCUCCCACAGAAGGGGCUGACGUGGGCCUCCUGGGGCCGUGGUCAGCUCUCACUAGGGUGGGCAGGCAAGCCCCUCCUGCUCCUUGUCUCUUCCGCAUGUUGGCUGUUUCCCUGCCUGCUUCCCUGCUGUGCUGCGACCCGUCAAGGGGUCUUCAUGGGGCCGAGCAGAAGCUGGUACCCUGCUCUUCAGUCUCCCAAACUAUGAGCCGAAUAAUUUGGUAUUUGGUUAUAGCAACAAAACACAGAAACAAAGAAUGCAUGUACCUGGGCCCAUGGCACUAUAGACGACACUGGAACCCACCCAGCUGGGAGAUGCUGAGCGCACUCUUGGGUGAGCACGGGACGCGUAGCCAGGUCACCAAGGGAGGAGAUGAGGCCCAGCGAGCCAGGUGAGUCCUUGGCUUUGUAGCAAGGGAAGGAGUCCCCAAGUCCUCGGCUUCUGGCUAUGGAUGGACUCCUCCCAUGUCUGCCUUUCCAUGUAUCCAGAGGUAAGGGUUGGCCUAACGAUGGUGCCCAGAUAUCUGACCAAACACUAGUCAGCAUCUCCAUGAAGGUGUUUAGUAGAUGUGAUUAAUGUCUGUGGCCAGUCGACUUUAAGUGAAGGAGCAAUAACCUCAUCCAAUCCAUCAAAGAGCUUAAAAGCAAAGGUAAGUGUUCCCUUAGAGGACAUCUGUCUCAAGACUCAAACUCAGAAGUCCCGCCUGAGUGUCCAGUCCAGGGAAGACCACACUUUGCCCCUGAAGGUUUGAUAAGCAAAUUCACAGGAACACACUGAGGACAGGCAGAGUGCCAGGAGCGAAGGGUGUGCUGAGCUCACUCACAUGCACCCGGGAACCCGAGCCACAAAGUGUGAAACCCAAAGGAGGGCCAGGUGGUUCAGGUCAAAGAACGUCUCCUCCACAGCGGACAGAGAAGUGGGGACCAGGGACACUUUUAGAGAGCCCAGAGAACGGAGCUCUGGGACAAGGACCCGCUGGGCUCCAGGUGCUGUUGGGUGAUGUGGUGGUCAGCAGUCCUUCCUGUCCUGUUCAAAGGAUUGGACAGGACAGCUGAUGAAUGUCAAAGUUUAUCUAAAGAUAGAUAUCUAAAGAUAGAAUAAAGAAAUAUAAAAGAAGAAAAAGAAAUGCUCAAAAAGAAAAAGGAUUCCACAGAAAAGAGAAUAUUCACACUGCACACAGAAGAGACUGCGGCAAGAACAAGAAAUUGAUGGUGACCAAGCCAGAGGCCAUGUCAGGGCCAGCUCCCACCACACAGAGCUUCAGAGCAGCCGUGACCUGACAGCCGUCUGUGCCUGACAGGCCACGCCGCAUUGUGCAGUCAGCUGCCCGUGCCCUAAUCUCCUGCCUCAUAGCGUGGAUUUCAUUCUCUCCUGUGAAAUGGGUUUCUUGUCCCUUGGUGAAUGCACUGUCAUAAGGAGCUUUGAAGGCAAUCAUGUUCUCUCUGGGAAAUCCAGUCUUUAGUUAGAUAAGAAAACUUCACCCAGGGCCUUGCUAUGCUUCAGGAGAAAAAGCAGACAGAAGAGGACGGAGAGACAGGAGGAAAGGCCACAGAGACCUGAGUAGUGCAGCAGUUACUUCAGCCUAGUGUGUCAAAUCACUGCACUCUGGGGUGCCGUCUCCUGUACCCCAACACCCGCAUGCUAGGCUGCCCCACAGAUUGUGGCUUUGCCUUUCCCCACAUAAAUAAACUCCUUAAAAUCAGUCUCUAGCUCGGGCACCCGUCUUCCCUGUUGGCUGUGCUUAUCCGGAGGGCCCAGAGUGACAGGUGGGGUUAGCAGCAGUGUGCCAGGCUUUGGUGAGAGGAGGAGGAGGUCCCGACGCUGUAGUCACACACGCAUUCCUGUGGGUAGGUGGGGCUGGGGUGGCCCAUUUUAAAGAUGAGGAAAUUCACGUGCACGAGAUUUUCCCCAGACCUCUCGUGAAUGACAGAUCAGAAACCUAAAGCCCAAAGCUCUCCUUCAAAGCACCUCGCUCUGUUUCACCCUCUCCUAGAACACUCUCUGGUGCCAUCUAUCACACACAGCACCCGGGCAGUCUGCUCUCCGCCUGUAUGACUGGGGCGCCAGCUGCUAAGGGGACACAGGCUGCACUUCCGCUCCCCGUUCCUCCUCCAGCCCCCGAUUUUGGAAAUACCGAGCCGCCUUCCCUGCUCUCUUCCGGCAUCUCACCACUGCAACCUCGGAGGCUUGCUCGAAACGCCUGGCCUUUGGUCCUGCCUUUGCUACCUAUCUUUGACCAAGGCCACCAGGUCCACACCCGCAGGCCUCAUCCAUGAGCUGAGCCCAGAAAACCGGUUUGAGAACAGCUGAGCUCCUGGGGAUAAAGGAAAUGAGUGGGGCAAGUGCCCUGUGUGCUUCUGUGACCGCCAUCUUGAAUACCUUGGGUAUCUCUAAGUGUCCCUGGACUUUUCUUUUCAUCUUUACCAUCAAGCAACUGAAAUCACUGAUCUACCACACUGGGCGGGCGUCCUUUGAGCCUAAGUCUGGGGCUGCACCUCACUUCUCAGAGGCCAGCUGGGAAGUGGCAGGGGUGUUUUUUGGUCACAAAAUUAAGAUAGGUAGCAGCAGUGGCUGGGAACAGGGUGAAUUUGCUAAAUAACACAGAACUGCAUGCUUCCACCUGGUGUAAGUCAUCUUGGUGCAGCUCCAUGGCAGAGGGUGUGCCUGGCACGCAUGGAGUACUGGGUUCAGUCCCCAAAACACAUGUACACACACAAGCACACACACAUGCACACGCACACACACACGCACACAUGCAGUAAAACAAAACCAAAAAAAUCCACUUCACACUGCUUAAGUUGG